Cinara cedri is the source of this 322-nucleotide non-coding RNA. Lineage: Eukaryota; Metazoa; Arthropoda; Insecta; Hemiptera; Aphididae. The record is from the annotation of a GenBank genome assembly.
CGAGUUAUACACACCUGUAAUCAUAACCGCCUCGCCAAAUUACAACGUCAAUGAUAAUUAUAAAAAAACGAAAAUCGGGUAACAAAAAAAUAGGUAAACAGUCACUACGCAUACUCAUCGUGAGCGUAUAUUAUACCCUACAAUAUUAUUUUAUACCCCAUGGUAUUAAUUUGUUCCCUAUAAUAAUAUUUUAUACCGUUAUUGACUCACCGCACCGACAAUUAAUACGUAAAUAAGUUACGUUUUUUAAUAAUAUAAUCAAUAAAACAGACCGCGGUGACUAAAUACUACUUUCCAAAGUUCUAUUGUUUUUUUUUUUGCU